CAGUAGCCGCGGUAAUACGUAGGGUGCGAGCGUUAAUCGGAAUUACUGGGCGUAAAGCGUGCGCAGGCGGUUUUGUAAGACAGAGGUGAAAUCCCCGGGCUCAACCUGGGAACUGCCUUUGUGACUGCAAGGCUAGAGUACGGCAGAGGGGGAUGGAAUUCCGCGUGUAGCAGUGAAAUGCGUAGAUAUGCGGAGGAACACCGAUGCGAAGGCAAUCCCCUGGGCCUGUACUGACGCUCAUGCACGAAAGCGUGGGGAGCAAACAGGAUUAGAUACCCGUGUAGUCCCUGUCUCUUAUACA
RNAcentral lists this ribosomal RNA (301 nucleotides) under uncultured bacterium. Its description in RNAcentral is "partial 16S ribosomal RNA". It matches the Rfam family "Bacterial small subunit ribosomal RNA", at positions 509 to 808 of the family's 1533-position model. The record is from RNAcentral.